AAUGAUGAGAUUACCUGCCACCACGGUGUUGGAUGUGUUUGCCUCCUGUUGAGUCAUGGUGAAGAUCCGCACUGGAGCUGACGAACCCUCACCCCUGAAACCUGCUGAAGAAGAGGCUGCCCCUCUUCCUCUGCCUCUGCCACUAGCCUGAGUUGCGGCUGGAGCUGCUGGCUGAGCCACACUACCAGAAGCUGUCUGCUGAGACUGUGCUCCAAAAGCUGCC
This 223-nucleotide long non-coding RNA is filed under the name Manihot esculenta (cassava). RNAcentral's name for it is "long non-coding RNA (MESC_LNC012845)". The record is from RNAcentral. Lineage: Eukaryota; Viridiplantae; Streptophyta; Magnoliopsida; Malpighiales; Euphorbiaceae.